CUCCCCCAGAGCCAAGCGCCAGAAGAUACAUAAUGUUGCUGUCCAAUGUGAUGUCAACCCGAAGGCGAACGGUUCCCCGUCCUCUAUAGGUGACAUGCAGGUUGGAAAAGAGAAGCAUUUCAAGCAUUCCCCUGCCAGGCAUUUGGCCAUGAAGCCACUUAUGACUUUGGAGGUCCAGUCAUCAGAGUGUGAAGAGAUCCUUCCAAAUGCCUUGCGCCCAUGUUCCAGGAAGGCCAAGCAAGCAGCUCUUUCUGCUCUGCAGGAAGAGAAGGAAUCCUGGAGCGAUGAGGACGAGAUCUUCAUGGACCAGCAAUCAGAGUUGUCAGUUGGUACCAGCACUUCUGGGGCUAAGAAGAAGGUAAAUGUAACCUAACCCAAGCAGAGACUUUUUUAAACAAGACAAAUUGCUCAUUGCUCAUUUCAUCUUUCUAAAAAUAAUUGGACAAUCUAGAUCAGUGGUCACCAACCGGUGGGCCGUGAGAAAAUUUUGGUGGGCCGCAGAGAAAUGUCCCCCCAAAGACCCCCCCCCAAAAAGCCUGCCCACCCACUGGCUCCCACCCUGCGUUUGAGUGCAAAGCUGCAAAAAGCAGCGCACCCCUUGCCGGGCAGGACGAGGUAAUAGUGCUAUUGCAGCAAGAGGGG
This 642-nucleotide long non-coding RNA is filed under the name Notechis scutatus (mainland tiger snake). Its description in RNAcentral is "lncRNA (ENSNSUG00000000096.1)". The record is from RNAcentral. Lineage: Eukaryota; Metazoa; Chordata; Lepidosauria; Squamata; Elapidae.